CCAUGUGUGGGAGUUAGUAUUACCACUGUGCGCAGAUGAAGAAACCAAAGCUCAGAGGGGCUGAGAAAUAUGCACAAGAUCACAGAUCUUGUAGUAGCAAAGCUAGAGAUUCAGGUCUAGGCGAGUGGCAGAAAUAAUUAGAAUAGAGGAAGAUAAAUAGUAAGGAGCUGAGUCAGGGGCAUAGAGAAGAUGAAAAGAGAAGAAGAAAGAGAAAAAAGAAUAGGAAAAGUGCAGGGGCAGAAAGCAAACUGCCUUCACAGCCAAGUUCCUCUGCUGGACCCUCAUCUUGGCCACAUGCAGCCUGGUGACUCAGGACAAAUCCUGUCACUACAGCCUCUUCAUCUGUGCAACGGGUCAGGGUCAGCCAGCCAGCUGUGACACUGGUUUGUUUUCAGGAUCAGAAGACUCUGUGUGGGAAGUUCUACAUCACUGGGCAUGCUGGCCACAUGGAGGCUCUUCAGACGGUGUUUAGAGGAUGGAUGAGCCUCGGAAGGCCAGGCCCCCAGGAUGUAGGGAAUGAGAACGUCCCCCAGAUGGUGAACAGAGCUGUGAGCAGCCCCUGCCCAGGAUGUGGAGCCAGCUGGGAUAACCAUCUGCGAGUCUGCUUCACCCAGAAUCGAUCCCAACGGUGGAGGAUCUUAGUUCCCGGAUCAAUAGACCCAGGCCCGUGGCAGUCAAAGCGCAGAGUCCUAACCACGGGACCGCCAGGGAAUUCCCAUACAUUUCCGCUGUUUUCGGCCAUCAUUGGAAACUAACACAGGCUGCAAUGGGAAAGUUACCCAGAGGCAGAAACACCUCCUAGUCUUCUGACUUCCCUCUUUGGGGAAGGUUCGGGACAGGGUUCAUUUGCCAGAACAGGACAGAGGUGGAACUGGACCAGCACCCACCCUAUGUGCACCCAUCGUGCAGUUUCAAAGGGAGGCCGACCACACAGGCGUGCUUGCCGCAGGGGAUGAGGGCUGAAGCAGAGGACCAGAGGUGUACGUCCAGGGUCUCAUCAAAUCUCCAGAGGUCCCGUGAGCUGGAAGUGGAAGCUCAGCGUUCAGCGCAAGAGAAAAGUGGCUCAGAUUUGGGGUUGAAUUCCAGCUCCCCCGUUCAAUGACCAUGCGACCUGACACCCACCCCCCCAACCCACCCCCAACUCUCGCCUUUUAUCUGUGAAACUGAAAUUAUGACACCUACCUACAGGCUUGUUGCUCUGAGGUUUAAAGCCCUUCACAGAGCUCUCCGCUUCCUGAACGACCUGGUGAAUAGUUCUUGCUGUUACGGCCCAGGAUCCCAGAGCAGCCAGACAGGCCUGAGUGAUGUGGGAGCCUGGGGCGGACUCCCCCUGCAGGGAUCAGCCUGUCGACGUGGAGGUGCUCAUUUCAGCCCACCACAACACUGCUCUGCGCGGGCUGUUGCCUGCUGUGUUCAGCGCCAACCUCUCAGCGCUCCCCAAACCACAAGGGCUAGAAGCCUGAAAACUAUGUCUCUCAGACUCCCCCCUGCCAGCAGCGUUCCAGUUUAGAUUCUGCCUUUGGAAGGCUUUUGCAUGAGAGCAGGAGGCAGAGAGGGAAACUGUUUCUCUGGCUCCAGACUGGGAGGCAGCCAUGGGUCUGACCCUCCUGCGGAGGCAGAGCUAGCAGCAUUGGAAGCCUGCGGGGCGGCGGCUGGCUCCUGCUGGCCUGAGAAGGGCAGCGGGGCUGUUUUGAGUCCUGCGUGCUCAGAGACAAGUAGGUUCCUACCGGGUUACGGCGGCUGACUGCAGAGCGGGAUCUCUGGGUAGCAGCACCGUUCCCAUCCGUAGUUUUGCUCCUUCCCUUCCAACAACUAGGAAACUUCACUCCCUAUAUUAAGUUUCACUGUGUUUGAAAUACCUAUAGUGACUUUCAUUUUCCCAACUGAAUCCCUGACCAGUCCGUCAGUCCUCUGAGGUGCAGGGGCCGAGGGGUACAGAUCAUUAGGGGGCUCAGAGGGCCAUCUUUACCAGGAAAUAUGACCUUAUAUUUCUCAUUAGAGAUAACCCUUAUAAUGAAAAUACAGCAUGUCUGCUAAGUCA
Molecule: long non-coding RNA, 2041 nt
Organism: Dama dama (fallow deer)
Lineage: Eukaryota; Metazoa; Chordata; Mammalia; Artiodactyla; Cervidae
Exons: 2
Source: RefSeq, a predicted model, not a curated record